This 45-nucleotide non-coding RNA is filed under the name Schistosoma mansoni. The record is from RNAcentral. Lineage: Eukaryota; Metazoa; Platyhelminthes; Trematoda; Strigeidida; Schistosomatidae.
AUCCAACUGAUGAGUCCCAAACAGAACGAAACGCGCGUCCUGGAU